Molecule: long non-coding RNA, 1338 nt
Organism: Sebastes umbrosus (honeycomb rockfish)
Lineage: Eukaryota; Metazoa; Chordata; Actinopteri; Perciformes; Sebastidae
Exons: 2
Source: RefSeq, a predicted model, not a curated record
UGUGUCUUAUGGGAGGUGUCACAGCUGCAGCUGGUAAAAUGAAUGAUGGGUGGUUACAGUGAGCUAAUGAGCAAGUGUCAUUGUUGAUUUGUAGCUGCAGCUUUUCCCUGCUGUGACACCUGAAAUGGGUCCGUUGGGUGUGUCACGAUGUCCCUUGAUUGUCCCCCAUUUUAGGAACCUAUCGAGAGAGCUGGACAUCUAUUGUUCAAUUCAAUUUAUUAUUUAUUAUUUGAUAUAGCAUCAAAUCAUAAUAAUCUCGAGGCGCUUUUCAUAUAGAGCAGGUCUAGACCGUACUUUAAUAAUUUAGAGACCCAACAAGAGAUCCCCCCCCUGAGCAUGCAUUGUUAUGCGACAAUGGCCAGGCAAAACUCCCCUUUAACGGGCAGAACCGGGGUCUGGGUGGGUGGCCAUCUGCCUCGACCGGUUGGUUGACAUAUGUCACAAAAUAUAAUGACAAUUCUGGCACUUGUUGACUCCCUGUGCAGUUCACCAACUCUUAAACUUGGGACUUAGGGGACCAAGUUAGGUGGAUAAUUGCUUAAAUGUUUGAAUCCACCUCUACAUUUAGGAGGGACUCCUUGCAGACAAAUCAGUAGUGUUCUUCCCCUGCACUAGCCAUAUUUAUCUUUUCCAAAAUAUCUCUCUGCGAAAGUGCUUUGCACCUCUUCAUAAUGUGCCUCUGCUUUGCUCUUGCCCCUCAUACCUCACAAUUUGUCCCAUCUGUAUGGCUGACAGAACAGAUGUACAGAUCUGUGGGAACACUGCCAGAAAUACUCCUGUGAAUAAAAAGAGUGGGACGAGAUUGAUGAUGACUCGCUGCUUAAUCAUGACGGUAGCCUGAUCAUCUCCUGUAUCGCUGAUGAUUCACUGGUUGUUUACACUGCAGGCUGGUGCCCUGAGGGAAGAGAAAGUCAGGUACGCACGCAACAUGAGGAGCAGGAACCGGUUGAGCAGCGUCGCCUACUGAAGAAGACGCAAGGUGGAGGUGUUUGAUCUCCUGUGACAGCAAGACUUACUCAACCUGUGUUUACGGAUGUGACAGAGUGCCCGAAACUUGAUGGAUUGCCCCGAGGGGCUGACAGUGCUUGUAUAAUGCUGUGUUUGUUCACAUAUGUAUUUGCAUGCUAUAUAUGAUAUUCUUUAUGUGGUUUGUUUGAUGUCAGUGCGAGAUGUCUGUUGUGAUUCACCAGAGGAUCCACUGUUGUCUGGACAAUAAACUGCGACCAGGGCCGUGACUCACGACUCCACAGCGCUGUCGAUCCUCAGUACUUCACUCCUCCAUUUACACAAGCCUUUUUUUUUUUUUUUGCUUGAUAUUGGAACGGACACACAGAACUA